RNAcentral lists this ribosomal RNA (327 nucleotides) under uncultured eukaryote. Its description in RNAcentral is "partial 18S ribosomal RNA". It matches the Rfam family "Eukaryotic small subunit ribosomal RNA", at positions 1470 to 1796 of the family's 1831-position model. The record is from RNAcentral.
CCCUUAGAUGUUCUGGGCCACACGCGCGUUACACUGAUGAAGCCAGCGAGUAUAUCGCCUUCACCGGAAGGUGCGGGUAAUCUUGUGAAACUUCAUCGUGCUGGGGAUAGACCAUUGCAAUUAUUGGUCUUGAACGAGGAAUUCCUAGUAAGCAUGAGUCAUCAACUCGUGCUGAUUACGUCCCUGCCCUUUGUACACACCGCCCGUCGCUACUACCGAUUGAAUGGUUUAGUGAGAUCUCGGGAUUGGAGACGUUGCGCCGCAAGGCACAUCGUCCUCGAGACCUUGAUCAAACUUGAUCAUUUAGAGGAAGUAAAAGUCGUAACA